Long non-coding RNA from Protopterus annectens (West African lungfish), 525 nucleotides. RefSeq lists it as uncharacterized. Lineage: Eukaryota; Metazoa; Chordata; Ceratodontiformes; Protopteridae. The transcript is spliced from 3 exons. The record is from RefSeq and is a predicted model, not a curated record.
UAUUUGCUUUGUUGAAACUGUUGUGCUGUGUAGGAGGAUUGGAUUACUGGCAACAGUAUCUACUUGUGGGUGUGAAGAGUGUAUUUUGUGGAUUCUUAGUUCUUUAAUAGAGGCAUGAAGCUGGAAGUGCCAGAAAACUUUGGUGAUGUUGCUGUUGAUUUUUCACUGGAAGAGUGGAAGAUGCUGAGUGAUCAGGAGAAACAGCUGCACAGGGAAGUGAUGGUGCAGAACUAUGAGCACAUGGUGUCAGUAGGACAAAUGUGUAUUUGGAUGAAGCAUGCUGGAGUAUUUUACUAUGAUGAGCAAUGGUCGGUUUGAAUAAACAUACCACUGCUCAGUGGUGCAACAGUUAGUAUUGUCGCCUCACAGCAAGAGAUUCUCCGGUUCAGUUCUCAGCUGGGGUGCCUUCUGUGAGGAGUCUGCAUGUCCUCCCUGCAUUUUCUUGGGUUUCUUAUGAGUGCUCCGGUGUCCUCCUAUAUUCCAAAGACAUGCAUCUGGAGCUUUUCUCCCUAGGCCUCCACUGAA